UUCAAGAGAAUCCAACAAAGAGACCAACCAUGAGCUCAGUGAUCAUUUGGCUUGGCAGUGAUACUAUUACCAUUCCUUUACCUAAUGCACCUGCUUUCACUGGAAGUCUAUCACAAUCUGAAAGUAGUACAAUGUCAAUGAGUAACGAUGUCUUCACGGAGUUGAGUUGUCGUUGAGCUGUAAAUUACCAGUUCAUAAAAACAUUGUUUCCGAAAGCAAACUAUACAUUCUAUCUUCUGGUCUUUAGAUAUAUUUUCCUAAGCUUCAUCUCAAAGUGUAUCUAUUAACUAUGCUAUUACGCCAUUUUCGAUCAUGUGAUUUACUUCAGUUUAGGUUUGGUUUACCUCUAUCAAUUAAACAGAAAAUACUGUGUGUUUAAGCUCGCGCUUUUGCUGCUAAGCCAAUCCGUUUAGCACAUGCUUAUAACAUUGUUAUUAUAACAAAAAUAUUAUACUUUUUCUUUCCUUAGAUGGCUCAUUUAUGUCAUGAGAAUCAAUUUCUAGGGAAAUGUACCAAUCGGACAGCCGGACAGGAGAUAGCGGUAAAGAGAUUGCCACACCUGUUGCUUCUCUUACACGACCAUCAUCAUUAUCACCCAUCACCAUCGUCAUCAAUGUGCCGCAAUUGGUCAUCAAUCAUCAAUCAUAUAUUAUACUUCUUUGCAUGUCUCACUCUGUGCAAUCAAUGACAUGCUAUCUUGAGAAAAGAGAUGCCGUGUUUUGUAAGCAAAUUAUGGCUUCGAAUGGCAAAAGCAGAUUAGGCAAAACGGAUCAAGCGUUUCAAGUAAAUCAAAUGAAACAAAUGCAGAUCAAGCUUUUUUGCAGAACAAUUGUAAAUUAUUUAUUUUAAUUUAAAAUAGGAAAAAAAAAGGAAAGAAAAAGCUGUUAAAAAAGCAAAGAAAAAAAAAGUAAAAAGCAGUACACGUUUGUACCACUGCCAAAUAGGCGAAGGAUUACUGUAGGUGGCAGAUCUUUAUUUUUUUGAACUGCAUACAGUUCAAUAAUAUUUUAUUAUUUUAAAAACUGAACUGCUUUAUAAUUAAAUUAAAAAGGUGAAUGGAAACACAUGUGCAGUUCAUUAUGCGGGAGAACUGCACAUGUGUUCCCAUUCACCUUUUUAAUUUAAUUAUAAAGCAGUUCAAUUUUUAAAAUAAUAAAAUAUUAUUGGUAGUACAAGUGCAGAUCAUAUAUUAAACAUUUUAAAAUAGAAGUGUUUGAUCUGCUCUGUUUUAUAAGAAAAAACAUGAAAAUAAAAUAAAUUUUUUUUUUCCACCUACAAAAUUUAACAGCAGAACUGCAAUUAUAAAUAAUAAUUAUCAAUUUUUACAAAUGGUAAACAAAGUGCAGUUAAUCUUUUCUACUAUAUAUAUGCUUUAUAUCUGUCUUUUCAUUCAAACUCUUAGAGACGUUAUUUCUAAUGGAUAUUUUGUUUUCCCCCAAUUUAACGGAUGACACCACCAAAGAGGGAUGGACGCAAGAGGAAAGUCACGCAGCACAAACUACGUUAGCUUAUAUGGAGUUUUUAAUUACCACCACAAUAAACUAUAUGCAAUAUUUUGUUUUAUGCAAUAUUUGGUUUUAGUCGUGGACAUGACAAGGGAAGACUUUAUAUAAUUAGGUUCUAUGAAAAGUCAUACGAGCAAGAUCACUUUUAUACCUAAUGUGUGCGUGUUGUAGGGGUUGCCUUGCCUUGUCGAAAAGAAAGAAAAUUUUACGCAGAGUCCACAAUUCAAGGUUUACUUAAUUACUUUCAUAUAUUUAAGUUUUGGACAUUUAACAAGAGUGCUAAAGUAAAUAAUAUUUAAUUUAAUUUGUUCCUUUUCGAGUUUACUACAAAUUUUCCACUUUUUUUUUCUUCAUAUAAAUAUACAUAUCUUAUAUAAUAAGACAAUGUUUCUUCUAACUUUGCCUCACAAAACGACAUUUGGCGCUCUAUAUUCAUGACAUUUGUUUUUUUUAUUAAAUUCUAAUUUAACAUUAAAUAAUUAUUUUAUUUGUGACAUUGUGUUAUAAGUUGUAAGAUAUGUAUUGUUUGCUUUUAAAAAAAUGUCAUUGUGGCAAAAAAAAUAUUUUCUCCAAAUUUUUGUUUCUAUUUAAAUUACAUAUCAUAUAAGCUAAACAUAAAAUGGAGUAGUUAAAUUUUUUUCUUUUAAAGUAUUUUUUCCUAAAGUUAUUAAUAUGGGUAAUAAAUUAUUAAUAACAUGAUUUUAUAAUUUUUGAAAAAUAAGUUUAUAAUAAAAUAAUUAAAGAGAAUUGUUUUUUUUUUACUUUAGCAUCGUGAAAUCUAUGGUAAAUAAUGAAAUUAGAGAAAGUUAGAUCUUUUUUUCAGUAUAAUAAAAUAGUACACCUAAAAUAUUUAGAUAAAGUAACUAUUUAACCAAAAAAUAUUCUAUUAUUUAAUUUAGGAAACAAAAUUUAUUUAAUUACUAUUAUUAAACAGUUGAGAGAGAAAACACAAUUAAUAGAAUAAUAUAUCAUGAAAUUUAAUCAAAGAAUAAUUAUCAUAUUAUUAACAAAUCAUAGAUAUAAAAAUAAAGUUUCACUCUUUUUUUAUUGGUUCACUUGGCAUGUAACUUAAAAAAAUAUUAGGUAUUAUCAUAUAUAUAUAUAUAUACAUAUAUUUAAUUCACAAUUUAAUAUAAAACUGAAAACAAUUAAACGACAAUACACAUUUAAUCAUAUACAUUAGAAUCACACUUUAAUAUAAAAACUGAAAUAAUAUAAAUUUGCAUUAACUAUAUUUUACAUUGAUUUUUUCAACUCACAAUAAAUUAUAAUUGAUUCCCAUAAUUUUUUUAUGAAAUUGUAACUCCCAUCACUUCUCUUCCUAUAUAUACUCAUUUUCUUGGUUACCAUUCCCUCAUUCUCUCAUCCUCUAAUUCUCUAUCUCAAUUAUUAUAUAAAAGAAUAGCUUUGUGUUUUUUUGUAUGAGUUCAGGAAACAAUUAAAAUAUUCAUUAAUAAAAUCUCAAUUGUAAAAUAAAUUAGAGAUUAUAUGAUAUACAUCUUAUGUUAUUAUAAUUUUCACUUUUUGGAAAAUCAUCUCUAUUUUCUUUUUUAGUUUAUCAUCAUAUAAGUAAUCAUUCCCUCACCCUGUUCCUUUAUAUUCAUGUAUCUUUAAUAUUUUUCUAUUUUUAUGUUGUUAUAUGGCAUAAAAAUCAAUGAAAUUAACAUUUAAGAAUUUGAUAUAAAUAUUUUUAGAACGUAUGAUACAAAUCUAGCAUAUUUUUAAAUUUAAUCGUACUUAUAAAUUAAGAAAGUAUGAAACAACACAUGUGUAAAAUAAAAUAGUUUGAAGGCAUAAAACAAAAACAUUGACCACUAUUUUUGUAUACAAACAUACAAAGAAAUCAACACUUUGGUAGAUAAAUUAGAGAACUUACCUGGUACUAACCUAAUAUAUCUUUUUAAAAUUUUUAAUAUUUUCCAUUUCUUCUCUAAAAUUUUAUUUUUUAAUUAUUUUCAUUGUUGUUGUAUAAUUUAUUUAUGUAUAAUUCCCAUGAUGUUAUUGUUACAUUAUUUUAAUUUUUCAUUAAAAUAGAAUAUAUUAUUUUUUCUCGGAAAUCUUGGUAGAGAGCAAAGUGGCUACGGUAAAUUGUAUGUGACUUUUCUUUUUAAUUAACAUAACCUAUUUUUAAGAAUACAUAUGGUUUAGUUUUUAUUGUAUAUGUAAUUAAUAUUAGGCUAUUUUGAUGCUCUGGACUAAUAUAAAGUAGCUGACAAAAAAUAUAAUAUUAAUGUGUCGUUAUAUAAUAUUAUCAUAUAUGAAAUAUUAGAAGAUAUGAUUUUUUGAGAGACCGAAGUAAAAAGUAAUCAACAUUUCAUAAGCAAUGAUUUUUUUGAAAACAAAAAAAGAAGAUGACAUAGGGGCAAACCUAAAGUAAAUUUAUAUAGAUUACAAGUUCAAAGAGUUGUUUGUAGUGAUCUAAGACGAGAAAUCUUACUCUUAGUAUCCUAAUGUAGUUGAAUAAAAAAAUAUUAUAAUCCUUAGUACAAAAUAAUCAUAAAACAUAUACACUUAGUUAAUUCUCUUCAUUUUUAUCCAAGCAAAUAAAUAUUCUACGAGAUAGUGCAUAAAAAUGAAGAGAGUUACUUAAUUGCUUCAAUUAAAUUGAUUCAAAAAAAUAUACUAAUUUAUUAUUAAUGUAAUAUCAAAUCUAUCUCGCGCAUCGCGCGGGUCUACUUCUAGCAUAUACAUAUAUAUAGCUCUUCUCUAUUUAUACAACCAUUUUACUAUAUAUUAGUUAUUUCAAAAUUGUAGAUACCAACAAUUUUUAUGAAUGUCAAUGAAACUGGUUUGGGCUUACGUCUAUGAAGCUGUAUUUGAAGAUGGUAAGUGUCUAUCAAACUGAUCACUUUGCCGUUUGCACACCCUUCCAAAACAAUGCAUGAGAACAUCUGGACUCUUGGAUCCAUAUCGAUAAUCCAAAGAUGUAGGAAGGAUUGUAUUCUUUCUAUUGUGAAUUGAGUUGUUGUAUUCAAAGAGACAACUUCUAUUUUAGAUAACUUAUCCUCAAUGUACUUACAGUUUUGCGCAUGUCAUCAUAAGAGGCUGGAAUGUAAUGAGAUGACAAUUUUGUUGUUUUUCAGCCACACCAAUUGUUCCAUAUAGCCUAUUGGUACUUUUGGCUGUAGUACUCUUGGUUGUAAAAGUUGCUGACGGAGUCGUAAGUGAAGUCAUUUUUUCUCUUAACUUUUCUAAUCAUGUUACUGUUUUUGUUAUAGUCACCCCUAGGUCAGACUAAUUUGUUAGAGAUAAAAAUCUGGAACUAUAAGUAGAACCCCAAAAUCUCUCUUUAUUAAACCGAAAAAAAGUAAGUUAGUAUAACAAGAACAUAUUUCGUUUAGCAAAAAAAGAACAUAUUUCGUUUAGCAAAAAAAACAUAUUUCGUUCUUCUACCAAAAAAAGAACAUAUUUCGUUUAGCAAAAAAAUAACAAGAACAUAGUAAACACUCUUAGCCUAACCUGAUCAAAACACCUCUUAAUUUUUCUCGCUAGCUUGGAUGAGUCUCGUAAACCAAAAAUCAUUCCAACUAAUUAUAAUAAAACGUAAACAUAAAUUUUUUUAUUAGAAAAUAAUAUACGAAACAUAUCUAUCCUAAAUGAGUUCCUAAAAUACGAAAAUAUGAAGUAUUUGUAUCAUAAUUGCAAAAAGAUUUUUAAAAGAAUAAUCUUCGCCUCAAAUAGCACUUAAGAUCUAGAAGGAGGGAAGACUUUUAUCGGUCACGCUACCAAAAACAAAAGCUGUUAAUAAAUGAAAAGGAUGUGCAUGUGGUAGGGUUACAUACUUACAUAUACAAUGAUUAAUUCAAGCAAAAUUGCAGAUAUAUAAAACUGUUCGUCGUGGUCUCAUAUGUGUUAUCAUGGUAUGGUGCUAGAUACAACACAAUCAUCAUUUGUGAAUCCAAUAUCUAAUUAUUAUGAUUGAAUGUGAUUCAUGUAACUAGAUUCGAUCGAUUUGAUUAUCAUGGAUAAUAUCAUUACAUUCUCGAGGCUUUGUAUGAGUCUUCCUUCAAAUUGACUUCAUUGGCUGUCGUUUUUGAGCUACUAGGAAAACUGACUUCAUUGGCUAUCAUUGUUUGGCUCUAUGUGCUUUCUUCCAACCUCAGUACCUCACAACAGCUACUGUUGUUCCUGGCUUCUUUUGGAAAAAAUCUGUUUAUUUCUUCUUCUAUUAUUUUGCAAUUAUCUCUAUGUGGUCAUUUUUGCAUCUUUCGAAAUCAAACCAAUUAAUACGCAUUUUUCAAUGCUUUCUUGGGGCCAAAAGUUCUUAGUAGGUUAACGUUUCACAUUUCAACCAAUAUGUUGCCAUUUCAUAUGUUAUUUAUAAGAGACAUAUGAAAUGCAACACAUUAUCCAACCUUCACUAAAACCAAGUUAUCUUAGCAAAGCUUCAAUAACAUUCCAUUCAACCCAAUUGAUCAUACACACUGCUCGUAUCUGCCUAGAUGACCACUAACUUCGAUUUGCAACUUGGGUUGGUAAAAAAUUUCUCGCAAAAGCAAAAUGUUUUAUGUGAUUAGACGUCUAGUCAUAAAGGGUGAUUGUGUAAGUGAUGUAUAUAGAAAGGUCAUUAGUGUCUUUGUAUUUACCCUAAUCACCUCUGUACACUCUCUAUAUAUAUUGUAAUUAUCAUCUCUAAUAAGAUAAUCAGCCUUCUAUCUUAUAUGGUAUCAGAGCAAAGAUCUAUAUUUCAGCCCUAAAUUUUUUUUUUCUCCCGUCGUCUCUUCUCUACUCUCACCAUGUCGAGUACAAGCGAAACAAUUGCUCUCACCACCACUCCUACUCUUCUCAGCAUCAACAUGUCCAACAUCACAAAGCUCACUGCUUCUAACUUCAUCAUGUGGAGCCGACAGAUCCAAGCUUUGCUUGAUGGUUACGACUUGGUCGGCUACCUUGACGGAUCGGUUCUCGUCCCCUCUCCUACAGUCACUAACAAUGGUGUUGUGGCUCCAAAUCCUGACUUCUCGCUGUGGAAACGUCAGGACAGGCUGCUGUUUAGUGCUCUCCUUGGCACAAUCGGCUCUGCAGUUCAGCCUCUACUCUCCAAAGCAACCACGACCAAUCAGAUUUGGUCCACACUACAUGAUAUUUAUGCAGCUCCGAGUCGUGGCCACGUUCGCCAGAUUAAGCUGCAGAUCCAAGCGUGGAAGAAAGGUUCCCGCUCAAUCGAAGAGUACUUUCAAGGACUCACCAUACGCUUUGAUCACCUUGCACUCUUAGAGAGUGAACUGCCCCAUGAUGAUCAAGUUGAGGCGAUUUUUGCUGGUUUGUCUGAUGACUAUAAACCCAUCAAGGACCAAAUCGCCGGCCGUGAGAAAUCUCCUCGUCUCACUGAAGUUUAUGAGAAACUUCUCAACCAUGAAGUCACACUAGAGACGCUUGCUGAAACUGCCAAUGCCUCCAUGCCUGUGACAGCCAAUGCCGUCAACUACCGUGGUAAUCACACCAACAAUACCAACAAUAGCAAUCGUAACUCGCAGCAGCAGCAGCAACGUAACAAGAAUGGUUAUCGUGGAAACCAGAACUGGCAGCAACAGCAACAAUACUCUCCACGCCCGAACCAGUCGUACUCCCGUGGCUAUCAAGGCAAGUGCCAAAUUUGCGGGGUUCAUGGUCAUAGCGCCCGUACCUGUUCUCAGCUUCAUCAGCAGCAAGUCGGCUACGCACCUCAGCCACGCGCCUAUGCCCCUUGGCAGCCGCGAGCCAAUAUGGUCAUGUCUUCGGUUUAUGAGAGUGCACCAUGGUUACUCGAUAGUGGAGCCACACAUCAUGUGACGACGGAUCUCAACAACUUGGCUCUCCAUCAACCAUACACGGGUGGUGAGGAUAUUCAAAUUGCUGAUGGUUCUGCCCUCUCCAUUGCUCAAACUGGUUCCGCUUUUCUUUCAACUCCCUCUCGUGCAUUAGUCUUGAAAGAUGUUCUUUAUGUGCCUGAUAUUAAAAAGAACUUGAUCUCGGUGUAUCGCAUAUGUAACGCUAACCAAGUUUCGGUUGAAUUUUUCCCGGCUUCAUUCCAUGUGAAGGAUCUCAAAACGGGGGUCCGGUUGCUCCAAGGCAAGACUAAAAAUGAGUUGUACGAGUGGCCGGUUAAUAUUCCGAAACCAACGGCGUGUUUUGCUUCACCAACACCAACAACGGAUUUAACGUCGUGGCAUUCGAGACUCGGUCAUCCGGCUUUACCAGAUUUAAAAGCACUUGUUUCCAAGUUUUCUUUACCUGUUUCCUCGUCUUUGCAACAACAUUUAUCAUGUUCCGAUUGCUUCAUCAAUAAGAGUCAUAAGCUUUCGUUUCAAACGAAUUCAAUUGUCUCCACUCAUCCUCUUCACUACAUUUAUAGCGAUGUGUGGACUUCUCCCUUGUUCUCUGUUGAGGGAUUCAAAUAUUAUUUGGUGUUGGUUGACCAUUACACUCGAUACACGUGGUUGUAUCCGAUGAAGCAAAAGUCACAAGUCAAGGAGAUAUUCAUACGCUUCACCGCCUUGGUUGAGAAUCGUUUUAAUCAAAGGAUUGGCACACUUUAUUCAGACAAUGGAGGAGAGUACAUUGCACUUCGGUCGUUCUUGUCAUCUCAUGGUAUUACACACUUGACGACACCACCACAUACACCGGAACACAAUGGAAUUUCCGAACGUAAGCAUCGACAUAUCAUGGAAACAGGCCUCACUAUGCUCAGCCAAGCGUCUAUGUCCAAGGAGUAUUGGAGCUAUGCUUCCUCUACAGCUGUUUAUCUCAUUAAUCGCUUGAUAACACCGGUUCUUGGCAAUGAGUCUCCAUUUCAGAAAUUAUUUGGGACACCGCCUAAUUACAUGAAACUCCGGGUAUUUGGCGGCCUCUGCUUCCCUUGGCUCCGACCUUACAAUACUCAUAAGCUUCAGGCUCGUUCUUCUCCUUGUGUGUUUUUGGGAUACAAUCUCACGAAAGUGCGUAUCUCUGCUUGGAACCAACGAGUGGACGAGUGUAUGUGUCUCGUCAUGUUCGAUUUAUUGAGACACAGUUUCCGUUUGCUUCGCCAAAAUCUUCACAAGAGUCUCUCGAUACAGAGCCACCGUCAUUGCUAUCGUCGACAACGCCGGUUCCGUUCUCGCCACUCGUACAAACAGCACCACCGGACUCCCCAAGUGAUCCUCACCAGCCGUCACCGAGUAUGGCAACUACUCCCUCGCCGGAACUACUCUCCUCAGUGCCUCUCACCACGCCUCAGCCAUCGUCGUCUCAUCCCAGCUCUCAGGCCAACAAUCAAUUCCCGAGCCCGACACAAAAUUUGAAUCCAACCUCUCCUUCUUUAAACACAGGCCCAAAUCCGAGCCCAUUACCACCCUCAAGCUCAUCAAAUCAAUCAAGCCCAACAAACACAUUAAGCCCAAAUCCAUUAUCCUCCUCUCAAAGUCCAUCCCUGUCGCCAUCAUCUUCCUCCUCUUCGUCGGUACCAACCACAGAAACCUCAUCCCCUGUUCCGUCUCCGUCACCUGUUCCAUCACCACCGCCUCCACCAAACAGCCAUCCCAUGACAACUAGAGCCAAAAAUAACAUCACCAAGCCAACCAAGCGAUUUGCUCAUCUCGCUGGUCUACCUAAACCACCGAUACCGAAGACACUGGCUGAGGCACUACGAGAUCCAAAGUGGCGUGCUGCGAUGACUGAGGAGUUUAAUGCACAAAUUCGGAAUGGCACACAUGAACUGGUUCCACCUUCCAUGGCUUAUAAUAUUGUUGGCUGCAAAUGGAUUUUUACAUUAAAGUAUAAACCUGAUGGCUCUCUUGACAGGUACAAGGCUCGUCUUGUUGCUCGCGGUUUCCACCAACAACACGGCCGAGACUACACGGAUACGUUCAGCCCUGUGAUUAAAACCACCACAGUUCGUUCUGUUCUCCAAGUGGCGGUGAAUAACGGUUGGGGAAUCCGGCAGAUUGAUGUUAAUAAUGCCUUUCUCCAAGGUCGCCUUCAAGAAGAAGUCUAUGUCACACAGCCACCUGGGUUUGUUGAUCCAGAUCGUCCGCAUUAUGUUUGUCGCCUUAAGAAGGCACUCUAUGGUCUUAAACAGGCACCAUGCGCCUGGUAUCAAGAAUUGCGUGCACAUCUUCUCCGGCUUGGGUUUGUCAACUCUGUGGCGGACACGUCUUUGUUCAUCAAGAUCAAUGGACAACACGUCGUCUAUAUUCUGGUCUAUGUGGACGAUAUGUUGAUCACUGGUAACAACACCAACCUUCUUGAUCAGAUUAUUGCAUCUAUUGGCUCACGCUUCUCACUUAAAAAUCUAGGGGAGCUCAAGUAUUUUUUGGGUGUGGAAGCAACGCGCACAUCUGCUGGUCUUCAUCUUAUGCAAAAGAAAUAUAUCAUUGAUCUCCUCACCAAAACACGGAUGUUAACGUCUAAGCCGGUGUGAACACCGAUGUCACCAUCUCCGAAACUCACCAUCCGCAGUGGUAAACCAUUAGAGGAUCCUCGUGAGUAUCGUGCUGUUCUUGGUAGUUUGCAGUACCUAUCAUUUACACGCCCCGACAUUUCAUUUGCCGUUAACCGGCUCUCACAAUUUAUGCACCAACCGACCGAGGCUCAUUGGUGUGCGGUGAAGAGGGUUCUUCGAUACUUAGUUGGUACCCAAUCACAUGGUAUUCUCCUUCGUGCUAACACGCCGAUAUCUCUUCAUGGUUUUGCUCUUAAUGGCUACUCCGAUGCGGACUGGGCAGGAGACCCGGAUGACUUUCUGUCCACAAAUGCUUAUGUUAUUUAUCUUGGUGGUAGUCCUAUCUCGUGGACGUCGAAGAAGCAAAAGGGUGUUGCACGCUCCUCUACGGAAGCUGAGUAUCGUGCAAUGGCGAAUACAGCUUCUGAAAUUCGAUGUAUAACGUCUUUUCUUACUGAACUUGGCGUUGUUAUACCUCAGGUACCGGUCAUCUACUGUGAUAAUGUUGGAUCUACUCAUCUUGCUGCAAAUCCGAUAUUUCAUUCUCGUAUGAAACAUCUCGCGUUGGACUAUCAUUUCAUUCGUGACAAUGUUCAAGCGGGAACAUUACGUGUUAGUCAUAUCUCUACACACGAUCAGCUUGCUGAUCCGUUGACGAAGGCGCUUCCAGGACCGCGCUUUCAGCAUCUUCUCUCCAAGAUUGGAGUCACAAAAGUCCCUCCAUCUUGCGGGGGCAUGUAAGUGAUGUAUAUAGAAAGGUCAUUAGUGUCUUUGUAUUUACCCUAAUCACCUCUGUACACUCUCUAUAUAUAUUGUAAUUAUCAUCUCUAAUAAGAUAAGCAGCCUUCUAUCUUAUAGAUUGUGUCUCCAAUAUCACACUAAAAACACAUUAAAGGCGUUUUCGUACAACUUUAGAGAUGAUUUUGUAAAUUAUGUUACGAAAGCUUAUGGGUCUAAAUUUGGUCAUCGUGCUUCGUAUCUCAUUUUUUCCGAUCAAGGGAUUCAAGCAGAUGUUUAUUUGGUUUUAAUCUUGAGGCAGAAAAAUGUUGAAGUGUUUGAAUAAAAAUCCUUCCACAUAACUAUCCAAAAGUGUAGAUAGAAGAGUCUAGUCAUCUCGUUAGGACCCCUCGGAGCUUAUUUUUCUGGAUGGCAAAUAAAGAUUCAUUUGUAUUUGCAGUAACUUUCUCGGCAUUGAAUGACUAAGAUGCUUAAAACGAUAUUUGGAAAUAUUCAAUACAAAAUAUGUACUUGGACCACAUUUUUUCCAUCUUUGAAAAAUUGUGCCACUGAAAAUUUCUCUAUUUGGAAGUCAAGUAAUACUUUGAAAAAUAUUGCCAUCUAAAAUAGAACAAAGCUCAACAUCUAACUUCUUAACAAUAAAGCACUACUGCAAUAACGAAAUCAUUACCAAACUUUCAUAUCGAGCCAUUGAAGCAGCGUGACAAUAAUGGGGAAAUGCCCUGUUUUGAUGAUAUACCUCUCUUGUUCUCUUCUUCUUGUCUUUCAAAGACUCCAUGGUGUUAAUGCUGUCAAGUGUUUCGGAAGCUUCUUCAACGGCAACGGCAGCUACGCUCAGAAUCGCCAGCAACUCUUCUCUGAUCUUGCUGAUAAAGUCGUCGCUAACGGUGGAUUCUACAACGCUUCACUCGGCCAAAAUCCCAACAGAGUUUACGCUCUUGCCAUCUGUGCAACCAACUACGAACUAGAUGCUUGUCUCAGAUGUGUCCGAACGUUGGCUCAGGAUACACAAAAAAAUUGUCCAAGCCGCAUGGAUUCGUUCAUAUGGGGAGGCACUGAGAACGAAGUUUCUUGUUUUUUACGUUCCUCAAACCACUCAACCUUUGGGAACCUCCUGCUUGAACCUUUUUAUGUGUACCCAAAUCCGGAUCUUAUCGAGGGAUUUAAUAACAUGAACCUUUUCGAACAACAGUGGGAAGGAAUGGUUACCCGGACCCUCCAGGCUGCAACUAAUGCUAAAAAUUCCUCGGUUCUCAAGUAUUACGGUGCUGUCAAAGAAAAUUUCACGGACUUUCCAGAUGUUUACAUGAUGAUGCAAUGCACACCCGACAUAACUUCCCAAGAAUGCAAAAAAUGUUUGGGAGAUUGCUUGAUGUAUUACAGACAAGAUUAUCAAGUAAGAAAAGGAGGCAUGGCUAGUCUUCCUAGCUGUUAUUUCAGGUGGGAUCUAUAUUCUUUCCAAAGUGAUGCCUUUGAUAAUGUAACAAGAAUUCCUGGGCCUCCCGCUCAGGAAAAGGGGAGCUGCAUAACAGAGAAAAAAGGUAAAACAAAUGAGUUAAUACCACAAUUUGUAAGUAUGAUGAAGAUGUUCUCAGACUAAAAAAUGUUUAAAUAAUUUGCAGGAAGAUGCAUUGGAAAUCGAGGUAGUAUAGCAAUAUUUGCGGCUCUUACAUUCACUAACCUUUUGAUGCUUAUUACCUUUAUCAAAAUCUUUGCAAGGCGGGGGAAAUUUAAAAAUGGUAUGCGUACCUUGCUUGUUUUAAUCAACCUUAUCAUGUAGAGAGGAAGGCUUAUUUCUGUUUUUCUUUAGUUGGUAGCGCAGAGUACUCUGAUUCAAAUGGCCAGUUCAUGUUCCGGUUUGAUCUCCGUAUGAUCUUAAUGGCAACCGAUGACUUCUCUUCUGAAAACACGCUUGGCCAAGGUGGAUUUGGUACUGUCUAUAAGGUAAUAAUAACUUUUUCCCCUAAUAAUGUGUUCUUGAUCAACCAAGGUAACAAAUCUUGGAAAUUGGUUUCAGGGGACCUUCCCAAACGGCCAAGAGGUAGCGGUAAAGAGAUUAUCAAAAGGUUCAGGACAAGGAGAUAUAGAGUUUAAGAAUGAGGUUUCACUCUUGACAAGACUCCAACAUAAGAAUCUGGUUAAGCUUCUUGGAUUCUGUAAUGAGGGAGAUGAAGUCAUUCUCGUCUACGAGUUUGUCCCCAACGCAAGUCUUGACAACUUUAUAUUCGGUGAGCCUUUUGGAAAGACCUUUUUUUAUAGUUUUAGAAACUCUUAACAAGAUAAGAAGAUUUUGUUUCUUUAAAACUCUGCAGAUGAGGAGAAGCGUUCACUUCUUACAUGGGAGUUGAGAUAUAAAAUUAUAGAAGGCAUAGCUCGAGGUCUUGUUUAUCUUCAUGAAGAUUCUCAGCUGAAGAUUAUUCACCGUGACUUGAAGGCGGGCAACAUACUUUUAAAUGCUGAGAUGAACCCUAAAAUAGCAGAUUUUGGGACAGCGAGGUUGUUCGACCAUGACGUGACCCGAGCUGAAACUAAACGAAUAGCUGGAACCUGGUAAGGAAUAUUUAAAUGCUCUGUUUUUAAAACAGAGUCUUGCAGAAAUUUAAACAAUCAUGAGUUAGUGUUAAUGGUUUGCAUAUAUGCAGUGGAUAUAUGGCUCCUGAGUACCUGAAUCACGGGCAAAUCUCAGCCAAAUCUGACGUUUAUAGCUUCGGCGUCAUGCUUCUAGAGAUGAUAAGUGGCCAAAGAAACAAGAGCUUUGAAGGAGAAGGACUUGCAGCUUUUGUAAAUAAAAUUUACAUAUCAGUGUUUGCACAAUUUUUUCUAUCUCUUCAAACCUCUUAUGUAUAAAACGUAAUAAUACAUAUUUUUUUGAUGUAGACAUGGAAGAGAUGGGUUGAAGGAAAGCAUGAGAUUAUAAUUGAUCCUUUCUUGAUAGAGAAUCCAAGAAACGAGAUCAUAAAGUUGAUCCAGAUUGGUUUGUUGUGUGUUCAAGAGAAUGCAGCAAUGAGACCAACAAUGAGCUCUGUGAUAAUUUGGCUUGGCAGUGAUACAAUUAUCAUUCCUUUACCUAAUGCACCUGCUUUCACUGGAAGUCUAUCCCAACCGGAAAUUUGUACAUUAAUGUCAAUGAGUAGCGAUGUCUUCACGGAGUUGGGUUGUCGUUGAGCUGUAAAUCAGUUAAUCAAAAUGUUGUUUCCGAAAGCAAACUAUACAUUGUAUCUUGUGGUCUUGAUCAUGCUCAAGAUCAAGGAACCUUUCAUUUUAUCUUGUGUUCUUUAGAGAUUUUGAGACGCUUCAUCUCAAAGCAUUUCUAAUAACUAUUAAGCUAUCAAGCUAUUAAGCCAUAUUCUAUCAUGCAUGUGAUUGACCUUCAGUUUACCUCUAUCAGCUAAACAAAAAAGAUUGUAUUUUUAGGCUCAGGACACUGCUAAGUCUGGCCUAUAACACUGUCAUAACAAAAUAUUAUAUUUUUCUCAAUUCUUAAUUUUGUUCAGCCAUCUCAAUUAUGUCAUAAGAAUCAAUUUAUAGGGAAUAAAACCAAUCGGACAGGAGAUAUCGGUAAAGACUUAACCCACAGCUGUUGCCGGCAAUGGAGCAUCAAUCAUGUA
This 14252-nucleotide long non-coding RNA is filed under the name Capsella rubella. RNAcentral describes it as "long non-coding RNA (CRUB_LNC002374)". Lineage: Eukaryota; Viridiplantae; Streptophyta; Magnoliopsida; Brassicales; Brassicaceae. The record is from RNAcentral.